RNAcentral lists this ribosomal RNA (381 nucleotides) under uncultured eukaryote. RNAcentral's name for it is "partial 18S ribosomal RNA". It matches the Rfam family "Eukaryotic small subunit ribosomal RNA", at positions 592 to 976 of the family's 1831-position model. The record is from RNAcentral.
CAAUAGCGUAUAUUAAAGUUGUUGCGGUAAAAAAGCUCGUAGUUGGAUUUCUACCGAAGAUAGCCGGUCGGGUCUUCGACCUUGUAUCUGGUUUUGUCUUUGGUAUCCUCAUAGGGAACGUUUCUGCGCUUUAUUGCGUGGUGCGGUAUCUAUGACUUUUACUUUGAGGAAAUUAGAGUGUUCACGGCAGGCAAACGCCUUGAAUAUAUUAGCAUGGAAUAAUAACAUAGGAUCUUCGUCCUAUUUUGUUGGUUUCAAGGGCUAAGAUAAUGAUUAAUAGGGAUAAUUGGGGGCAUCUGUAUCAACGCGUCAGAGGUGGAAUUCUUGGAUUGCGUUGCGACAAACUACUGCGAAAGCAUUUGCCAAGGAUGUUUUCAUUGA